Molecule: ribosomal RNA, 499 nt
Filed under: Salmonella enterica
Lineage: Bacteria; Pseudomonadati; Pseudomonadota; Gammaproteobacteria; Enterobacterales; Enterobacteriaceae
Also listed under: 4 other names
Description: partial 16S ribosomal RNA
Rfam family: Bacterial small subunit ribosomal RNA
Source: RNAcentral
GGAACUGUGAGACAGGUGCUGCAUGGCUGUCGUCAGCUCGUGUUGUGAAAUGUUGGGUUAAGUCCCGCAACGAGCGCAACCCUUAUCCUUUGUUGCCAGCGAUUAGGUCGGGAACUCAAAGGAGACUGCCAGUGAUAAACUGGAGGAAGGUGGGGAUGACGUCAAGUCAUCAUGGCCCUUACGACCAGGGCUACACACGUGCUACAAUGGCGCAUACAAAGAGAAGCGACCUCGCGAGAGCAAGCGGACCUCAUAAAGUGCGUCGUAGUCCGGAUUGGAGUCUGCAACUCGACUCCAUGAAGUCGGAAUCGCUAGUAAUCGUGGAUCAGAAUGCCACGGUGAAUACGUUCCCGGGCCUUGUACACACCGCCCGUCACACCAUGGGAGUGGGUUGCAAAAGAAGUAGGUAGCUUAACCUUCGGGAGGGCGCUUACCACUUUGUGAUUCAUGACUGGGGUGAAGUCGUAACAAGGUAACCGUAGGGGAACCUGCGGUUGGA